This is a long non-coding RNA of Priapulus caudatus, 1949 nucleotides long. RefSeq lists it as uncharacterized. The transcript has 2 exons. The record is from RefSeq and is a predicted model, not a curated record. NCBI's taxonomy places the organism in Eukaryota, Metazoa, Priapulida, Priapulimorpha, Priapulimorphida, Priapulidae.
GCAGGUAGGUGAGAGAGGGUGUAUUAGCAGGUAGGUGGGAGAGGGUGUGUUAGCAGGUAGGUGGGAGAGGGUGUAUUAGCAGGUAGGUGGGAGAGGGUGUAUUAGCAGGGUGCAGUCAACUGUGAUUAGUCCUUUUAGCGCCAGCUAGCCGACUACGAAGAUGAGGGUCGGACGAUGGGCGGCUGAAGCAGGAGUCCGGCUGUGACGUCUUUUGGCAGUCAGCGUCUGCGACAGAAGGAGCACGCGUUCACGACAAACAUGGCGUCUGUCAGUACAGGAGAACGAGGCAGUCGCACGUUCCGAGCGCUUAGCGGGUCAAUCGACGACCCGAGGAGUCGAUUCGUCGCCGAGGGCAACGUGCGAUGAAUCCGCCGACAACAACAUGUAGAGGGCGCCUCAAUUUCCGCCUCAUUUCCUGUGACACAAGCGAUGACUCGCGGCGUUCCGCACUUCCUUGCCGAUCGGCGCCACGUCCGGCUCUGUUUCUGGCAGCUAGACAGAGUCAGCCUCAAGCUAUCCUCACAGUUAUUGACAGGUCGCCGAUCUUGCCCGGAUUGUUGGCAUUUUGCCAGGGGGCAACCUACCGGGUAGCGGGGGGAUUUCUCGGUGAUACAUCAAAUUAAAUUAAUCUUUAAUUAAAUAUUUUUAAUUAACUCGCGUGCGUAUGCGCAGCUGUCGCGUGUAGUAGAUGUGCGGGUGUGAGGAGUGUAUGAACAGUAAUGAUGUAAUGAUGAGUGGAUGAGUAAUGAUGACAUUCAUUGUGUGAAGUACCAGGGUUAGGUAGAGAUUCCAUACAGCAGUGGCUAAUGCUCUGGUGCCAGCUGUGUAGUGAGUGACACACACACACGCACACAUACACACAUAUACCCAUGUACGCAUGCAGGCAGGCAGGCAGGCAGGUAGGCAGACAGGCAGGCAGGCAGGCAGGCAUGCACUCAUACACAUCUAGACGUGUCUUCCCGGAGAACACCUGUGGUGAAGAAAAAUCAAAUGCUAGAUGUAGUGCAAGCCACGUGUGAUUAGUUCACUGCUCCAGCAAACCUUGUAGUGGAGCACAGAUUCUGCGAUGUCGCCGUUCCCUUGUUCUCCCGCCACGGCGCGAGAAUGGCCACAUUGAUUGUAAUGAUUAGAUUACCAUUAGCGGAUUUGCACGCGAGAAUUGGUGUGUUAAUCUCGAUAGCAGAACUGUGUGAUUAGUACACUAGUCUCUUCACCCGUGAGCUAGCUACAUGACAAACUGCUGAUUGAUUGCCAAUCAACAGCGAGGGUUAAUAACUAGAAAUGCCGUACAAACCCGUUAAUGACGAAGCAGCGCCAUCUAUUGUCAAACAAUGCUAUAAAUCGCGCACGGGUUCUGCCGAUGUUAUCAAUAGUACAUAAACUACUAAACUAGUGUAUAAAAUUAUAUAACUGUUAUACAUAAACUAUAGUUUACGUACUCUUGAUGUUGUGUGUUAUUAAUAUAGCUGAUAAUAUUGGAUUAGAGGUGAUUGCUUUCUAGCCAUCUUAUCGAACAAUUCGCGCAAACUGACAUUGUAAGAAACCUGUUGAUUAUAACAAACGUGAUAUUUGCUCUGAUUGAUAUAUAUAUACGUGAUAGUUACUUUCAGUCCCAAACCCACAUCCUCUCUCCUUCCUCCCCGCUCCUCUCUCUGGCUCACAGUAAACAAGUUGACGCGCAUGCGCAAACGAUCCGUGAGUCGUCCAUAGAAGUGAUAUAGUAGAUGAGCAUGGUCUAUCUCUAGGUGUCAGUAUUGAGCCGGCUACAGCGGCGCCCCCUAACCUCGCGGUCACAUUGAUCGCCUGUAACGCAGGGUGUGUUUUUCCUCCAUUCUCUUCUCAACCGUGUAACACUUGAUUUGUUCUUGCGACGCGCCGUCCGUCGCCUGGUAUUUAUAAUAUAGGCGGUAUAUCUCUUGUUACACGAACAUUACAAGACGUUUGACAGA